This 253-nucleotide ribosomal RNA is filed under the name uncultured bacterium. RNAcentral describes it as "partial 16S ribosomal RNA". It matches the Rfam family "Bacterial small subunit ribosomal RNA", at positions 524 to 776 of the family's 1533-position model. The record is from RNAcentral.
UACGUAGGGUGCAAGCGUUGUCCGGAAUUAUUGGGCGUAAAGAGCUCGUAGGCGGUUUGUCACGUCUGCUGUGAAAACUGGAGGCUCAACCUCCAGCUUGCAGUGGGUACGGGCAGACUAGAGUGCGGUAGGGGAGAUUGGAAUUCCUGGUGUAGCGGUGGAAUGCGCAGAUAUCAGGAGGAACACCGAUGGCGAAGGCAGGUCACUGGGCCGCAACUGACGCUGAGGAGCGAAAGCAUGGGGAGCGAACAGG